This 521-nucleotide ribosomal RNA is filed under the name uncultured bacterium. RNAcentral describes it as "bacterial SSU rRNA". It matches the Rfam family "Bacterial small subunit ribosomal RNA", at positions 8 to 526 of the family's 1533-position model. The record is from RNAcentral.
AGAGUUUGAUCAUGGCUCAGAUUGAACGCUGGCGGCAUGCUUUACACAUGCAAGUCGAGCGGCAGCGCGGGGCAACCUGGCGGCGAGCGGCGAACGGGUGAGUAACGGAUAGGAACGUGUCUAGGAGUGGGGGAUAACUAGCCGAAAGGUUAGCUAAUACCGCAUAUUCUGUACGCAGGAAAGCGGGGGCUCGCAAGACCUCGCGCUUCUGGAGUGGCCUAUCUCCGAUUAGCUAGUUGGUGAGGUAAAGGCUUACCAAGGCGACGAUCGGUAGCUGGUCUGAGAGGAUGAUCAGCCACACUGGGACUGAGACACGGCCCAGACUCCUACGGGAGGCAGCAGUGGGGAAUUUUGGACAAUGGGGGCAACCCUGAUCCAGCCAUGCCGCGUGCGGGAAGAAGGCCUUCGGGUUGUAAACCGCUUUUAUUCGGAAAGAAGGAGUGCGGGUUAAUACCCUGCAUGACGGACGGUACCGGAUGAAUAAGCACCGGCUAACUACGUGCCAGCAGCCGCGGUAAUAC